UAGCAACGCGAGGCUCCGCGGGGCUAACGGCGGGUGCGCUCGGCCCCGCCUGGGCCAAUCGCGUGGGAGAAGGAGACGUGGGGUCCCAGGAAACACCCUGAAGCGUGGUCAAGUGCCAGAGUCCAACUACACUCCCAGAGAACCUUUGCCUGCCACAGUUAGGCUAAACAAGCAACAUCAAACAAGCCAUCUGUGGAAAGAAAAACAGCCAUAAUCACGUUUCCAGCCAACACUCUGCUGACCCAUGAUACAGGAAAAAUGCAGAGGAUUAGGAACGCUUUCCCUGGUUGCUCAGGCAACAGCAAGACAUGGGAAUAUGAAAAGCUGGUGCGAGCGUGAAGGGACAUGUCUUUGGGCCCUCCUCCCUCCGCCUCCACAUUGGCAGAGGUGAGGCAUCAGGUUUCCUGACACGCCUCGGUGCCGGGCAGGUGCCUCUGGCUCGGCGGCAGCAGGACGGGAGCAGCCAGCCCGGCUCGGCACGCCUCCGCCAGCCCCGUCAGCCGCAGCUCCCGCUCCGCUGCUCCAUCAGCCCGGAAACAUCCUCACGGGAGCUCGUGAAACCCUCCUCCAAACGAGGGGAUGAGUAAGGACUCGCCGAGCCGGGGAAUCCGAGCGACAAGCCACAGACGGCAGGGACAUCCUCUCGAAGGCGAUGGACAGCUCGUGACAAAGUCACAUCGAUGGCCAUUUUCUCCCGAGCCCGGCUUGCCAGCAGCGUGGGGAGGUGCUGACAGCAGGCUGAGGUUCUCCAGGGUUCCAGGAGCAGCUCUGGGAUGGGAACAGCCCCACGCUUUGUGCCCCAGGCUUUGCUGGGUGCGGUCUCGUCUCCUGCAGCAGCUCUCGGCCCUUCCUGGCUCUUCUCGGACAAAACAAAGCCCACGGUCACCGCCGUGGCUGUGACCGAGCAGCCCAGCACCCCCAGCCCACGAGGAGCACUCCUGGUAAGCAGAGAGCACCUCAGAAUUCACCCCAGCACGGGCAGGCUCAGGUGGGGCUCCCACACAGGAGGUGCAUCCUCCCCACUCCCCAGAGGAAGUGACUAAGCCGAGCCUUACCAAGCCAGCCCAGCUGCUUGCACGGUGUUCUACCCCAGCAGCCCUCCAACCCUGCCCAGAGCCUCUGCUCCCUCCAGACAGGGAGGGUGUCCCUGCAAAGGUGUCCCUACAGCAAAAGCACAACCAAGGGGGUGGGGGAAAUUCCCUUUAUGUGCAACCACUGCAUUGGCCCUUAUGCUCUUGGAGCAGCCCAGCAGAGCCUGCUGUGCACAAACACAAACAGGGGCAAGGCACCAGGGCACAAUCUGUGUAAUCCACAGCUUGGCUGGGUCUAUAAAUACACCCGUGAGCAAGGUGUCACAGCAAAAGCUCCUGGUCCUUAAGCAAACGUGGAACUGCUGGGUUAUUUGAUGAGCACAGCCCUUGCUCAGCUGCUGCUGCACACACAGGCACUCAGCACCCAACUGGGGAGUCCUGGAUAGCUGGGGCAGGUCAGGCUCUACUGAGAUUAGUUAAGUCUGUGACCAAAUCAAACAGGAAACUUCAGAAUGGGGAGAAAACAGACAAGAAGCCCCACAGCAGCAGAGCCAGCCUCCAGCCACCUUGUCCCUCCCAGCCAUCACACCCAGGAUCCCCCAGAGCACAGCAGAGAAAUCCACACCAUGCUAAAACCCAACACUUCCCAGUGCAAGAGCUUUCCAAGUACCAGCAGUGCAGUAAAUCUGAAAAAUAGAUUUUAUUUUUAACCAGUGGUAUUGUGACAUCUUAUCUGGCAUUACCAAUUACAGCAAAAUCCAUGGAUAGGAACAAAAUAGCAGAUCUCUGCUUCUGGGUGCAGCAUGGUGCCCAGCAGCCGAGCACAGCAGCACUGGCAGCAGGGAGUUUGUGCCCCAGGGCUCCCUCGGAGGACAGACUCCAAUGAACCAUUCCCACUCACACACACAGACACACCCACACACACGACACCGAGAGCUUUUAAAAAUCUUUAGCAAUAUUUCCGCAUGAAAUCACACUGUAGCAUCUACACAGAGAAGGGCUGAUAAAAAUAAUCUUGCUGUAGGUUUACAUAGUGUAUCUACAUUUUUAUUUGAAUACCCAGACUGCUGGCCCAGCAGAAAAGGGAGGUUUUUUGUCUUGAUUUUGUUGGGCUGUGGAGAGUUUUAUCCUAGAGCACAACAGAGCUGCUCUCUGCAUCUCAGCCCAGACCUUUCUUGAACUCUUGGCCUGAAGAGAUUGCUGGGAAGUCACCCAGGAAGAAUCAAUGGCUUUGUCAUCCACGUCCCAUCCCUUUGUGCUGCCUCUUCAAACAUGGGGCAAAACCACUACAAAAACACUCUGCCCCACAGGUAACAGGAAUACAAAAUACUGCAAAAGCCUUUCUCCUCACAUACACGGGUACAUUGCCCACACAGGAUGCCUGCAACAAGUUAAAAGUCUAAAAAUGUUUCCUCCAGAAGCCCUAAAAUUGGGCUCCUGAGAUCCCCAGCCAGAGAUGGAGCACACAACCAUGCUGAGAAACCUCCCUCCUGCCAGCCUCUCACUCUGGGCACUUCACUCAUGCAGAGUCCUGGAAAAUACAAAAUAUUUGAACCAUGUUUGUUUCAAACAUACUCCCUUCUCUUGUUUCCUCGGGCAGAGAUCAACCUGCUAAGAAAUAGCCAAGAAGCUCUUAUGUGAGAGGAUAAAAAAACUUCUAGUAAAUGUUAGUUUUAUGUAUAUAAAUAUUUGUAUUUAUAGAUAUAGACAGUGAAAGGGUGAUUGUGUGUUUAUGCAUGCUUAUUUCUUUGCUUUGGGUUCCAAUACUUCUAAAAAAAAAUCUUUUCAGGAAAUAACUUAAGUUCUGGCACAAGAUACUAUAGUCAUUUCUUUAAAGAAUGUUUUUUUACACUUGAUCUCACAAGAAACCUUUCCACCCAAGCUCUCCUCCUCUGCAGAGAGGUCAGAACAAAGAAAAAGGUGCAUGUUUCUGUUGUUGGACACAACUUCCCUCCCUUGUUGAAGCCUCCAGGAUGGCAGGGAUUUCACAAGGAGCUGCAGCACAGGAGGAAGGGUGCUGUGAUUUUAUGGCACUGCCUGAGGUACUCAGCAAACACUUCACUGAUUGAACUGCCCCCAGUGCCAUCCCCAAAAAGUAAGGACAAAAAUCAAGCAGCUCUACAUGCACAUACAGCUACAACAUGCAAAAACACACCACCUUGUAGGGAACAGGAUACACAAACGUGUGGCUAGCAAGGAUUUCCCCAACCUCUGGCUCCUGGGAGACAAUGCUGAGAAGCCUCAGAACAAGAGGAGGAGGAAAGUGAGAAACACAGGAAUACCCAAUCCAGGGGUUGAGGUUGUUGCCUCAGAGUUCCUUCCCAAUCACAUUGAGUUCAUGCCUUGCUGCCUGGGAGCCUUCA
Passer domesticus (house sparrow) is the source of this 3394-nucleotide long non-coding RNA. RefSeq lists it as uncharacterized. The record is from RefSeq and is a predicted model, not a curated record. The transcript is spliced from 4 exons. NCBI's taxonomy places the organism in Eukaryota, Metazoa, Chordata, Aves, Passeriformes, Passeridae.